UUUAUAAGAUGUGGCAUGGCCUUAUUCAAAAGGCCAAAGAUGGAGGCUUGGAUGUUAUCUAGACAUAUUUUUUGGAAUGGCCAUGAACCUUCUCUUAUCAAGUAUAAUUUUGAGGGUCAAUACGAUCUGGCUGAGGUAGGACUCAUUGCACAGGGAAUUUUGCUAAAACAACGUUCCAUACUUUCUCAACAUACGUACUGUGAAUAAGCAACCAACUCUUUUCUGCUAAUGUGCACAUGAUGCACCAAGUGGGGAUCACCAGACCUCUAUGCUGAAGGUGGUCCAUAGUAAGGUUCUUGUCAAAACAUGCAAGCCAUCAAAAUGUGUGUUUUGCUUUCAUUUGCGUAAAGUAUUGUGAAAUGAUUGCACUGAAAAAUUUCAUGUCCACUCCUACGCACAUUUUUGGCCAUCUAUUUGUUGAAUCCCAUCAUGGAUCAAUUAUGGUACUAACAAAUCACUUUUAUUAGGAAAUCCUAACCAUCCCAGCCAUGUCUUCCAAAUAUGAAUGGCUUAAAAAACAAGGUCAACUUAUAGGCGGGUGAAUCAUUCAAUCGAUGUAAUUUUUUUCACAACAGCCCAUGAAAUCGGUAUAAGACCUGAUGGACAAUGUAGAUCAAUCUAUUGGGUUGGUAUCUCAAUGCAACUAGGACACUAUUACACUGAGAUCAUUGAAUCAUUUCUCAUAAUUAACAUCAGCAACAAUACUGGCCUGGGUUUCGUCAGUUUAGGGUCGAAUACAGGGGAAUUCGGGUUGGGUUUGGGUUAGGCAACUCGGAAUGGAAUUCAGUUGGCUGACUCAGGUGUUCUUGCUAUUGAGCCUUAACCCGUCCCAAGCAGAUUAAAAAAACAGCAAAUAUACUGUUGUGUUUUUUUUUUUUUUUGGAGAAAUUUCAGUGACAGACCAGUGGUAGCUUUCAUAAAUCUAAAAUUUCCAUCUUUGGCAAGGCAAUUCGCAUAUUAGAAUUCUAAGAACUGUAUUUUACUAAUCAUUGGAGAAAAUGGAGAGCCCAUAGAAAAAUUAUGCUGAAGACAGCAAUAAGAAUUAGCCGAUGAUUUUCCUUUGGUUUGCUUGAGCUUAUAAUUGCAUUGCAUUGGGAUUAGUAAGUCUUCUAAAGGCUUAAGUUUUGAGUUUUUGGUUGAAUCGACAGUAUAAUUUCUUUAUAGUUGCUGAAAUUGAUUUCAAGAAAUUGAACGUUGAUGGUGUUCUUCAGAAUUUGCUUAUGUUCCAUUUAGAUUUUCUCAAGAUAUUGUUGAGGUUUAUGGUUAUC
This is a long non-coding RNA of Magnolia sinica, 1268 nucleotides long. RefSeq lists it as uncharacterized. The record is from RefSeq and is a predicted model, not a curated record. The transcript is spliced from 2 exons. Lineage: Eukaryota; Viridiplantae; Streptophyta; Magnoliopsida; Magnoliales; Magnoliaceae.